This 989-nucleotide ribosomal RNA is filed under the name uncultured eukaryote. RNAcentral's name for it is "bacterial SSU rRNA". It matches the Rfam family "Eukaryotic small subunit ribosomal RNA", at positions 123 to 1113 of the family's 1831-position model. The record is from RNAcentral.
GGUGGUUUCUUACUACAUGGAUAACUGUAGUAAUUCUAGAGCUAAUACAUGCGUAAAGUCCCGACUCUUGCGGGGAGGGAUGUAUUUAUUAGAUAAAAAACCAAUGCGGACUCUGUCCGGUUUUGUGGUGAAUCAUAGUAACUUUUCGAAUCGCAUGGCUUCACGCCGGCGAUAGUUCAUUCAAAUUUCUGCCCCAUCAGCUUUCGACGGUAGUGUAGUGGACUACCGUGGCGUUAACGGGUAACGGAGAAUUAGGGUUCGAUUCCGGAGAGGGAGCCUGAGAAACGGCUACCACAUCCAAGGAAGGCAGCAGGCGCGCAAAUUACCCAAUCCUGACACAGGGAGGUAGUGACAAAAAAUAACAAUACCUGGCCUUUUUAGGUCGGGUAAUUGGAAUGAGAACAAUUUAAAUCCCUUAACGAGGAUCAAUUGGAGGGCAAGUCUGGUGCCAGCAGCCGCGGUAAUUCCAGCUCCAAUAGCGUAUAUUAAUGUUGUUGCAGUUAAAAAGCUCGUAGUUGGAUUUCUGGUGGGAGUGGCCGGUCCGCCGUAAGGUGUGUACUUGGUUGUCUCCUGUCAUCCUUGUGGGAACUGCUCUGGCAUUAAGUUGUCGGGGUUGGGGAACACAUCGUUUACUGUGAAAAAAUUAGAGUGUUUAAAGCAGGCUUAUGCCGUUGAAUACAUUAGCAUGGAAUAAUAAGAUAGGACUCUGGCGUCUAUUUUGUUGGUUUGCACACCAAAGUAAUGAUUAAUAGGGAUAGUUGGGGGUAUUCGUAUUUAAUUGUCAGAGGUGAAAUUCUUGGAUUUAUGAAAGACGAACUUCUGCGAAAGCAUUUACCAAAGAUGUUUUCAUUAAUCAAGAACGAAAGUUAGGGGAUCGAAGAUGAUUAGAUACCAUCGUAGUCUUAACCAUAAACUAUGCCGACUAGGGAUUGGCGGUCGUUCAUUUAUGACUCCGUCAGCACCUUAUGAGAAAUCAAAGUCUUUGGGUU